Molecule: ribosomal RNA, 119 nt
Filed under: Lepisosteus oculatus (spotted gar)
Lineage: Eukaryota; Metazoa; Chordata; Actinopteri; Semionotiformes; Lepisosteidae
Source: RNAcentral
GCCAGCAGCCAUAUCACCCUGCAACUCACAACUGGCAACCUACUAAAACUAAGCAGGUGUGAGCCUGGUCAGUACCUGGAUGGGAGACUUCCUGGGAAAAACUAAGGUUGCUGCUGGAA